UCUGGGAGAGCUUUGAACACGUUCCGAGGGAGGUGCUGGACACUGAGUCUAAGUAGACCAUGUUCCGUGCCUCUAUUGUUGAGGCAGCUCGUAGGAGCUGUGGCUGCAAGGUUGUGGGUGCAUGACGUGGCGGCAACACUCAAACACGCUGGUGGACACCAGCGGUGCGGGAAGCUGUCAAGUGAAGCGAUUCUGGUCCACAAUCCGGCGUCUGGGGGGGAGGAAGCAGUGCAGUACCAACACUAAUUAUAGUGGGGGUGGUGUAUUGCUGACCUCGAUUCGGGACGUUGUGUAUCAGUGUGCGGAGUACUUGAAAGACCUCCUUAAUCUCACCAACACAUCUUCCAUUGAGGAAGCAGAGCGGUCAGGUUCCCCAAUCUCUGGUGCUGAGGUCACUGAGGUGGUUAAAAAGCUCCUCGGUGGCAAGGCCCCAGGGGUGGAUGAGAUUCGCCCUGAUUACGUUAAGGCUCUGGAUGUUGUGGGGCUGUGUUGUUUAACGCAUCUCUCAAACAUUGCCCCAGGGACCCAAGGCCCCAGGGGCGGCCGGGCCCCGGGGGGUCAGGCCCCGCGAAGCAGCCGCCAGGAACAAGCCAAUAACAGCCCAGGCAUCCACCCCCAAACACCAAGCACCACCAGUGCACGGGAAAGCCCAAGCGCCAGCCAGCGGAGGGAGGGCAGGACGGGGGGAAUGGGCUUCGCACUUAGCAGAGACUUGACAUGUUCUUGGGAAAAAAAUAACUCACAUGGCCUUACUCACUUCCUCCCCCUCAAUACCCCAUUCGCCCCUCCCUCCAAACCCCUUUGGGGAGAGCGGAAAUGACAGCCCCAGCAACAGGAGGCCACCCAGCAACACCCUCCCGCCAAGAUCGCGGACCAGGCAGCUCACUCUUCCUCCAGGCCCUAGACUCCGGGCGCCGGGACAGCCCUGGAGCAGGGGAGGGUUAGGACAUCGACUGGUCAGUGUCUUUGUUUAAGGCUUCUUCUCGAUCUAAAAGACAACUCAAGACUGCCUGAGUCCCUGAGCAAGACCCUUAGCCCCAUAUGGCUCUCCAGGCACAGUAGGCUG
Cyprinodon variegatus (sheepshead minnow) is the source of this 1066-nucleotide long non-coding RNA. RefSeq lists it as uncharacterized. The transcript has 3 exons. Lineage: Eukaryota; Metazoa; Chordata; Actinopteri; Cyprinodontiformes; Cyprinodontidae. The record is from RefSeq and is a predicted model, not a curated record.